Long non-coding RNA from Gadus chalcogrammus (walleye pollock), 2622 nucleotides. RefSeq lists it as uncharacterized. The record is from RefSeq and is a predicted model, not a curated record. The transcript has 5 exons. Lineage: Eukaryota; Metazoa; Chordata; Actinopteri; Gadiformes; Gadidae.
UUAAGAAGUAAGAAAUAAGUUAUGUUUUGUCUGGAACACUAUGAACGCGUCAUCAACCACGUGGUGAAGAAGAACGUUGCCAUUUUGUGUUGAAUGCGUGUGGACCUGGGGAGAUAUCUUUCAAGUUUUUUCUGUAGGUAUAGGUAAUUGGUGUUGAGACAGUUGGGUUGGGACGGGCUUCUGCUUCAAGCAUUGUUCCUAAGGCUCUUUAGAAAUGUGAUAUGGCAGUGUAAGGGGUGUUCCGUUGCAGUAGCUAGUAGCAUCACCAUCAUUACAUGAUUCUUCAGCUGAUUGCCAGGAUGAGGAGUUUGUGGAAGAGGAAGUUUCUGUUGCACCCCUAGAUAAAUGCAGAAUUUAAGCGCAUUACCACCAUGUCCAAUGUCCAAUCCAGAUUUCUGACACAAACUUCUAAAGCUGUUCGAAAAACGAGGAGGACACGAGGAGCCCCCAUGACUCAAGUAAGAAUGAAUUUUUGGGAAAUAAAAUACUGAAUUUAUAGAGAAAUUUGAUAGAGGAAAAAGGAUUCCAAACAAAUGUCUUUCUCUUCUAAUCUACAUGACCUAGGAAGAUUACGUUGAUGCAGGGCGGGAAUGUGUUCUCAAGUGGCUGUGUGUGUACCUCAACGAAGACCCAGCAAAUCUUGUCAGGGAGUUCGUGGAGUUAUUUUACCGAUUUUGAUAUUUUUUUGAAUACCAAAAAGCGUAGUUAAAGGGGACCUAUUAUGCUUUUUCGACUUUUAUGACCUAUAAACGUUGUUAUGAUUGAUAGUCAUGUUUAACCAUACUUCUCCGCCCCCCUCCUGCCAACCCAACUCCGUUGUGAUUGGUUACCUUCCUUGAAGCGCGCGCAGGCAGAUUUGACCAGGCAUAUGGGGGCAUGGCAGGCGUGCCUCUACGUAGAUGAUUUCCCGGAAAUGAAGGCUGUGAAUCGCAAACGUUGUGAAUCGCAAACGUUGUCCCGAGUGUUUAGCGCUCUGCACAGCCACCCCAGACUGUCAGCAGGGAAUACGUCGAAAUGCAUGUACGUCAUUAUUUGACACUUGAGUAUGGUUAAACAUGACUAUCAAUCAUUAUAACAACGUUCAUAGGUCAUAAAAGUCGAAAAAGCAUAAUGGGUCCCCUUUAAUGAAAUAGAUCUAGGCUACUGUACUGAUGCAAAUUACGCAACACACUUCCGUUGUGUUUAGUAACAUUUAUAUUGGUUGCUCGACCUUAAGGUCUGGUUAGUUUAAUUUUUGCUUCCAUUACAUGACACACAGGUGAGUGCUUUAUCCAAGUUAAAACUUGACUAUAAAAUGAACCCUCUCGUGUUUUAUCGGCACAACACUAUAUAGGCAUUUUAAUUUGAAAGAUGUACAGUCUGCAUUUAAGUUUAACAAAGAGAAAAGGAGAGGCUCACAGACUAGCUUAAAUUAUUUAAAAUGAAAAAAUCUUUUAAAUAGCACUUUCAUUAUAAUUCCAUUGUAAAUAUGAUUUUUGUUUUUUCUGACUCCGAUUUAUUUGUGAUUUCACUGUUCAGGCAGAGGACGAAGCCGCCAUCAAAGAAUCGAUUGAGGACACCACGGUGGGAAUAUUUGUCGUGAAAAAUGAUGCAACCAAUUGGUCCAGAGGACGUGGGGAUUGUCCUGGAAGGCCUGCAGAUAAUGCAAGGACUUGACAACACUGCAUUAGCUGCUGCCAUAUUGUUUGGCCUAAUGUAUGUAUUGAACCUCAACUACCCUCCUGAGCUAAAGAACACGUUUGAAGUGCGCCAAAAAGUUGUGAUGGAGCUGGACGGCACCACGCUCUCAAAGAAAGCCCAAGUUCUCAAAAACAGACUAUGAGUGAGCUGUUGUCCUAACCCUGCUCAUUGACUUGAUUCUGGACUGUACACAUGCAACUUUGCGGUUCUUUGUUCUUGUUCUUGCAGUAUUUACAUACAGCAUGUCUACUGUAUUAUCAAAUGAAUGUUUUCUCUGGAGCUCAUGCGUUCCCAAAAUGUGACUCGGAUUUGCUGUUUUCUCUUAAAGUAAUAGAGCUGCUGAAUGAGCAGUUGCCAUGGACUAUGUUUGCUCUGUGAAUGCACUUGUCUUUUGACAUGCACUCAUGCAGCUUUAGUUUUUCCUGUAUUCUUUUGGCAGUAUUUAGAUUUUUGGAAGAAUUACAUUUUUCGUAGUAUUAAUGAUGUUUGUCUAGGUCUACUCAUUGUUUGUUGUGCGGUGAUUCAUUCAAAACACUGGCAGUACUUUUUUAUUUUAUUAUUUAAUUAGAAUUUUAUGCAAAGUAAAAAAAAACAUAAUGCAACCUAACAUGUUUUGGGAUUUCAGUGUUAAAAAUGUCUAGUGUUUUCCAAAAAUGUCCAAACUAUUGCUAUUUGAAGGUGGAGUCAGCGAUUAAGGGGAAUUCUUGUCGUCAAAAUCAGUGAAUAUCUCAUGAUGCACUACCUGUCCGUACUUAUGUGCUAUAAAUCCUUUGUUAGUUCUCAGCCUCUGUAAACCAAGGACCUAUGGACAUGCAAUUUGUAGGCAGGACAAGCACUCUCCAGAGUCAGCUCUAAGUUACACAUGCCUAACACUGGCUGUGCUAUUUUAUUUUAUUUUCAUUUUAAUCGAGCAAAGUAAUGGGAUUUCAGUGUUAAAUGUUG